This 124-nucleotide microRNA precursor is filed under the name Oryza rufipogon (brownbeard rice). RNAcentral describes it as "pre miRNA MIR1428". The stretch from base 8 to 117 matches the Rfam family "MIR1428 microRNA precursor family". The record is from RNAcentral. Lineage: Eukaryota; Viridiplantae; Streptophyta; Magnoliopsida; Poales; Poaceae. RNAcentral also lists the same sequence under 3 other names.
GGUUAGUGCACUUUGCGAAUUCGCAGGCCCUAUCCUGUGGUAUGAACUGAGUACGCGAUAAUUUAUGGUGCAUAUUAGGGGCUUACCAUAAGAUAAUGCCAUGAAUUCGCAAAGUGUUCAAACC